RNAcentral lists this ribosomal RNA (255 nucleotides) under uncultured bacterium. RNAcentral describes it as "partial 16S ribosomal RNA". It matches the Rfam family "Bacterial small subunit ribosomal RNA", at positions 524 to 776 of the family's 1533-position model. The record is from RNAcentral.
UACGGAGGGUGCAAGCGUUUGUCCGGAAUCACUGGGCGUAAAGGGCGCGUAGGCGGCUCAUGAAGGCUGUGGUGAAAGUCCGGGGGCUCAACCUCGGAUCGGCCGUGGCGACUCGUGGGCUGGAGCACUGUAGAGGCGGGUGGAAUUCCGGGUGUAGCGGUGGAAUGCGUAGAGAUCCGGAAGAACACCAGUGGCGAAGGCGGCCCGCUGGGCAGUGGCUGACGCUGAGGCGCGACAGCGUGGGGAGCAAACAGG